AUCGAACGCUGGCGGCAGGCCUAACACAUGCAAGUCGAACGAGUGGCGGACGGGUGAGUAAUGUCUGGGAAACUGCCUGAUGGAGGGGGAUAACUACUGGAAACGGUAGCUAAUACCGCAUACCAUCAGAUGUGCCCAGGUGGGAUUAGCUUGUUGGUGGGGUAACGGCUCACCAAGGCGACGAUCCCUCGCUGGUCUGAGAGGAUGACCAGCCACACUGGAACUGAGACACGGUCCAGACUCCUACGAGAGGCAGCAGUGGGGAAUAUUGGACAAUGGGCGCAAGCCUGAUGCAGCCAGGCCGCGUGUGUGAAGAAGGCCUUCGGGUUGUAAAGUACUUUCGGCGGGGAGGCGUUACCCGCAGAAGAAGCACCGGCUAACUCCGUGCCAGCAGCCGCGGUAAUUC
Molecule: ribosomal RNA, 406 nt
Filed under: uncultured bacterium
Lineage: Bacteria
Description: partial 16S ribosomal RNA
Rfam family: Bacterial small subunit ribosomal RNA
Source: RNAcentral